Molecule: non-coding RNA, 107 nt
Organism: Acanthosepion pharaonis
Lineage: Eukaryota; Metazoa; Mollusca; Cephalopoda; Sepiida; Sepiidae
Source: the annotation of a GenBank genome assembly
ACCAUAUCAUGUUGAAACACCAGUUCUCAUAUGAUCACCGAAGUUAAGCAGCGCUGAGAGUGGUUAGUACCCAGAUGGGUGACCGCUUCGAAAUACCAGCUUCUGUA